Long non-coding RNA from Salvelinus fontinalis (brook trout), 1837 nucleotides. RefSeq lists it as uncharacterized. The transcript has 3 exons. The record is from RefSeq and is a predicted model, not a curated record. Lineage: Eukaryota; Metazoa; Chordata; Actinopteri; Salmoniformes; Salmonidae.
UUAUCACUGUAAAAAACUAACUCCAAAUGCAUUUGUAGGUAGCUAGCUAACAGCCAUGGAGGGUGAAAGGAUAGCAGCCCCAACUGUCAGUGAGAGAGGAGGCUAUUCUGGAUAGGGCAGGUACUUUUGUGUAGUUCCUGUCCCUAGAAGUGAGGACGGAGAUAAUAGUAACAUAAUAUUCAGUGUGGUGUAAUUUGACUAUAAUGAAGUGUGUUUCUUGUGAGGUUUUCUGUCCUCAGAUAAAGAGCGCUAUGAAAGCCAGUCUACAUAUGAAGAGGUCCCAAUGAAGAGCAGUGGUUCUCAGUCCUGGGGACUCAAAGAGGCACAUUGUUGUUUUUGCCUCAGCACUGCACAGCUGAUUCAAAUGAUCAACUCAUCAUCAAGCUUCAAGAGAUACCUUGUAACUGGAGAUUCCUUCAAAACGAUUGCCUACAGUUACCGUGUAGGGCACUGCAAGGUUGGGUGACCAGGGUCAUCUGGGACUGCCUCCUGGAGGAAUUCAGAUGUGUGAAGGCUACCUGUGUCCUGCGUAACUUCUUGAGGAUGGACACGAGGACCAGGAGGGGAUCUGCAGCUGGCCGCCGUGUCCCAGAGGAGGAGUCUGCUGCUCUGCAGGAUGUUUCAAGGAUGGGGUCCAACAACGCAGCAAGAGAGGCAAUCCGUGUGCAGGAGAUAUUCACCUCCUACUUCUUCAAAGAAGGUGCUGUUCCCUGGCAACACCAUAGACUACACUAUGCACAACCAAAGGCUCGUUUAAGAGGGUGCUGUUCCCUGGCAACACCAUAGAAUACACUAUGCACAACCAAAGACUCUUCAGAGAGGGUGCUGUUCCCUAGCAACACCAUAGACUACACUAUGCACAACCAAAGGCUUUACCAUUCACAUUGCAAUAAGAGUAUUCUUCCAUUUACUUAGCUAUGUCAACUGCAGUUAUUCAAUUCACAGUUUCUCACCCUUUGAUUUCUACUUCUCAGGUGAGGGUGCUGUUUAGGUAAGGGUUUGAUGUCUGUGCAAAAACAAAACAGGCUAUUUUAAAUCAGCCAUUUUGAGAAAAUGUAGAACAAUUAGACACCCUAUAACCCACACCUACACACUCAUGUAUCAAUCUGAUUGAUGGAUUGUGUUGUGCAGUAAGCAGGCUCAGGUGUAUAACUGUGGCUCCUUCCACCUUCAAAGAAUAGGCAAGAGGGCCAACCAUGGAGAAUAAUAAGACACUUCAUUAUUUCUAUAAUUAUGCUUUAAUUGUUUGUCCUUGUGGGUCCUUUCAUGUUUUUCAGCAUAAAGUACUCUGCAGCCACUUAGUGUGGUGUGGACACCAGGUGAGGCCACACACAGAUUCCUGUUGAACACUGUGGCUUUAACUACCUUAUUUUCUCAAUAACAGUCUCUAUCCUUCACUUCAUCCCUCUCUCCCCUUCUCCCUAAAUCCUCUAGGUUAUAUCAGCUGUGUCGGUGAACCCCUCCUGCAUCUGAACUGGCUACAUAGAGGGCACAGCAUGAUCAGAGAUAUGUUUUGAUGUGAGAGGAUGCCAACCCCUAGUCCCAUCAUCGCCACCUCACCUGCUUUUAAGAUAACCUGUGGGCCGACUAGAGACACUGCUAUGUAAUUGUGAUGAACUGAGAGAAUAUUUAUGUAGCACUGUGAUUCAUUAAUCAUGUGCUGCCUUCCCUGCUCCUAUGUGCUUACCUCUUUCCCUUUCUGUCUUUUACACCUCUCUCUCAUCUCCUCUUUCUUCCUCUGUUUUUAUAAUGCACAACAGAUGUGCAUUGAAGUACAGAUUGAACUUGUAUUUAUAACACUUGGAUAAUGAGCUUUUCAAUAAAGCGUUUCACAUUC